CAUGCCUCAGUACCGGCGAGUGAGCGGCAAAAGCUCAAAUUUGAAAUCUAGUACCUUCGGUGCUCGAGUUGUAAUUUGAAGGUAGUUUUCUGGUGCUGGCCCUUGUCUAUGUUCCUUGGAACAGGACGUCAUAGAGGGUGAGAAUCCCGUCUGAUGGGGUGUCCAGUGCUUUGUAGAUUUCUACCGAAGAGUCGAGUUGUUUGGGAAUGCAGCUCUAAGUGGGUGGUAAAUUCCAUCUAAAGCUAAAUACUGGCGAGAGGACCGAUAGCGAA
Molecule: ribosomal RNA, 272 nt
Filed under: Petasospora fabianii
Lineage: Eukaryota; Fungi; Ascomycota; Saccharomycetes; Phaffomycetales; Wickerhamomycetaceae
Description: Cyberlindnera fabianii partial 26S ribosomal RNA
Rfam family: Eukaryotic large subunit ribosomal RNA
Source: RNAcentral